UAAUGGAAGCUUGCUUCCACUGAGAAGAUAGUGGCGAACGGGUGAGUAACACGUGGGUAACCUGCCCAUAAGAGGGGGAGUAACAUCCGGAAACGGGUGCUAAUACCGCAUAGUUUUCUUGAUCGCAUGAUCGGGAAAGGAAAGACGGCCUUUGUGCUGUCGCUUAUGGAAGGACCCGCGGCGUAUUAGUUAGUUGGUGAGGUAACGGCUCACCAAGACGAUGAUACGUAGCCGACCUGAGAGGUGAUCGGCCACAUGGGACUGAGACACGGCCCAAACUCCUACGGGAGGCAGCAGUAGGGAAUCUUCCGCAAUGGACGAAAGUCUGACGGAGCAACGCCGCGUGAGUGAAGAAAGGUUUUCGGAUCGUAAAACUCUGUUGUCAGAGAAGAACAAGUUGGAGAGUAACUGCUCCAGCCUUGACGGUAUCUGACCAGAAAGCCACGGCUAACUACGUGCCAGCCGCAGC
Molecule: ribosomal RNA, 469 nt
Filed under: uncultured bacterium
Lineage: Bacteria
Description: bacterial SSU rRNA
Rfam family: Bacterial small subunit ribosomal RNA
Source: RNAcentral